Homo sapiens (human) is the source of this 2580-nucleotide long non-coding RNA. RefSeq lists it as uncharacterized. The transcript has 2 exons. The record is from RefSeq and is a predicted model, not a curated record. Lineage: Eukaryota; Metazoa; Chordata; Mammalia; Primates; Hominidae.
CCAUUGUUCUUAUGUAUAAAGCACAGGUUACAGGUUAUUUCUGAAGAUGUCUGCUCAAGUGGAGAUGCUACCAGAGACCGGAGUGGGAGAGAAACUGUUACAGCCAAUCACUUCCUUCCAGGAAAAAAAAAGACGCAAAUAACAACACAAAAAAACGUGAUCUAAUAGACAAUCCAGAUAUAAAGAACACAAACCCUUUUCCCUACAAUUUAACCAAAUGCUAAAAUGCACCAGGAAACACAGGAUACUACAGAGAUAAAGAUUUGGCCAGCAGAUUAUCAACCCCAGGAAAAGAAAUCCAUUUCUGUAGCAUGCUAUGCUGUUGGAGGCACACGUCACACUUCUUAAUUCAAGGACAGAAAAGCACAAACUAAAAUGCACACUGGAGUAUGACUCCCCCUUCUCUAUCUGCUAAAGCGCUUCGCAUGUGACUUUCAAUCUCUAAGCUGGGAAUCAAUCAGGCAGCCCAGCCUCCUAUAUUUUCUAGUUGUAUUGCUUUGAGCAUCAAAUUUAACCUCUGUGCACCUCAAUUUCUUCAGCUGGAGACAAAGAAAGUGGCUGCACUGUGGCAGAGUGUUUGCAAAUGUUAAUCAUGGUUAUGGUAGCAUUCUACCUUGUCUUACAGAUGGUUGCCUAAAAAGGUAGGAAACUGUUCACGAAAAAGUCUCAACCGGUCCUAGAGUGAUCAGAAUGACAGCGCUGAAAUAAGGAGGGCAGUACCUCUUAUUCCAGAGAAGUGGGGAGCAGAGAGGAAGAUGGAGUGGAAAGGGGCGAGGCAAGGCCCUCCUGAAAUACCUCAACCCAAAUCUUCAAGAAAUCCCCAAGUCCUCACAGUGCUUUUUGUGGAUUUUUGUGGAAACCGGUAAAAGGGGCUGAUUUGCUGACCCCAGUGGGUAGAAAACAGAGACUGUCAAGAGAACAGAAGAGAAGGCAGAAAGGGGAUGGGGAAGUGGGGUUCGCCAUGUUCACGAGCUCCUGGAGCCACAGGGCCCCCCAGGAACAACAGAGCUGAGACUGGGUGGCCUUGUUUCUGGCCCAAUUCCCUGGGACCACCACCCUGGAAGGACACUUGAGCCCUACUCAAGGACCCACCACAACAUCUCAGCAUUGUCGGUCCUUAAAUGCCAAGGUUUGUGCUCACCAUUUCCAUCCUUAAGAUUCUCACAGGGAAGAACCCACACAACAGCUUUGUCCCUGCGACUCUGGGUGAGUUUCUGACACUGGCCUGGGCUCCCGUUUUGCCCGUCACCAACUUCUCACAGUAUAACUAUCCAAGAGAAGUAGCAUUUGAUGUCAGGGAAUCAAAAGGGCUAAGGCUCGGGAGGCCAAGGCAGGUGAAUCACUUGUAAUCAGGAGUUCGAGACCACCCUGACCAACAUAGUGAAACCCCAUCUCUACUAACAAUACAAAAAAUUAACCAGGUGUGGUGGCAGGUGCCUGUAAUCCCAGCUACUCAGGAGGCUGAGGUAGGAGGAUCACUUGAACCCAGGAGGCAGAGGUUGUGGUACGCCAAGAUCAUGACACUGCACUCCAGCCUGGGUGACAGAGUGAGACUCCAUCUCAAAAAAAAAAAAAAAAAAGGCCUAAGGCUUACUCAGGGUCAUCUAUGGUUUGCCAAGCAGAGUUCAAUCCAAUCAACAAAACCCUCACUGCCCACUUUUCCAAAACCUGAUAUAGUCAGUCACUAGUAGCUGCCAUUUGCUGUUUUGCCUUCUAUUAAAAAAAAAAAAAAAAAAAAAACCAUCCAAUUCCCAGAAGUCAAAGGCAAUUCCUUCCCUUUUCUGUGUCUGUGAGACGGCUCUCUGUGGGAUUCCUUCCUGCUGCACCUCAUCCUUCCUGGAAGGGACUCUCAGAAAAUGUGCCUCCUCCUUACAGGAAAGGAAUUCCUCCCGAGGAACUGUGGACAUGAGGCAGCUUUGUGGAAUUUCCCUUCCACAGACUUCAGCCUAUUUUCUGGGCAAACUUAGCAGAAAUGACCAAAAUCCACUCGAGAGAGACAGCAACAAGGAGAGGGGAAGAGAUCCUAUUUUGGCUUCUUCAAAUGGACCAAUUUUCUCUUUAAAAUAUUUAUUUUAAGGAAAAACAAGGACUACAUUAUAUUUUAAAGGGGGAGAAGGAAGAGGAUUUUGAGUUGCUAAGAGAACAGAGCCAUCUCUUUUCUUUUAAUACUGGAUGCUAAGAACUUGCACAGGGUUUUCCCAAAAGCCAGAUAGUUCAGGUAAUUUGCAUGUGGCUGUAAAAGAGAAAGUUCAGGCCAGGCACUGUGGCAACAUGGUGAAACCCCAUCUCUACUAAAAAUACAAAAAUUAGCUGGGUGUGGUGGUGCAAGCCUGUAAUCCCAGCUACUUGGGAGGCUGAGGCAGGGGAAUCACUUGAAUCUGGGAGGUGGACGUUGCAGUGAGCCAAGAUCACACCACUGCACUCCUGGGCGACAGAGACUCUCUCAAAAAAAAAAAAAAAAAAAAAAAAAGAGAGAGAGAAAGUUGAGAGCAUAAGUCUGAGUGAUUCUGCCUGAAAGAACAGAACAGCUUACACUGGACAGGCUUUUGCCCAAGACACACCUCAUCUGGCAUUGAGAAA